UAUUAGAGGCACUGCCUGCCCAGUGACAUGCGUUUAACGGCCGCGGUAUUCUGACCGUGCAAAGGUAGCAUAAUCAUUUGUUCCUUAAUUAGGGACUAGUAUGAAAGGCUUGACGAGGGUUUUACUGUCUCUUGUUUCCAAUCAGUGAAAUUGACCUUCCCGUGAAGAGGCGGGGAUAAUAAUAUAAGACGAGAAGACCCUGUGGAGCUUAAAUUACUGGCCCAACUAUAUCCAAUUAGCCCCUCAGGGCCAACAUAUAAUAAACUGGGCUAAAAAUUUCGGUUGGGGUGACCUCGGAGUAAAAGAAAUCCUCCGAAUGAUUUAUAACCAGACCUAACAAGUCAAGUUAGUAACUCAUCAUCAAUUGAUCCAAGAAAUUGAUCAACGGAACAAGUUACCCCAGGGAUAACAGCGCAAUCCUAUUUUAGAGUUCAUAUCGACAAUAGGGUUUACGACCUCGAUGUUGGAUCAGGACAUCCUAAUGGCGC
RNAcentral lists this ribosomal RNA (488 nucleotides) under Tamandua tetradactyla (southern tamandua). RNAcentral describes it as "partial 16S ribosomal RNA". It matches the Rfam family "Bacterial large subunit ribosomal RNA", at positions 1844 to 2556 of the family's 2925-position model. Lineage: Eukaryota; Metazoa; Chordata; Mammalia; Pilosa; Myrmecophagidae. The record is from RNAcentral.